Molecule: ribosomal RNA, 257 nt
Filed under: uncultured bacterium
Lineage: Bacteria
Description: partial 16S ribosomal RNA
Rfam family: Bacterial small subunit ribosomal RNA
Source: RNAcentral
UACGUAGGUGACAAGCGUUGUCCGGAUUUACUGGGCGUAAAGAGCGCGCAGGCGGUCGUUCAAGUCGAGUGUGAAAGCCCCCGGCUCAACUGGGGAGGGUCAUUCGAUACUGAUCGACUCGAAGGCAGGAGAGGGUAGUGGAAUUCCCGGUGUAGUGGUGAAAUGCGUAGAUAUCGGGAGGAACACCAGUGGCGAAGGCGACUACCUGGCCUGUUCUUGACGCUGAGGCGCGAAAAGCUAGGGGGAGCAAAACGGGG